This is a long non-coding RNA of Cyprinus carpio (common carp), 1365 nucleotides long. RefSeq lists it as uncharacterized. The record is from RefSeq and is a predicted model, not a curated record. The transcript is spliced from 3 exons. Lineage: Eukaryota; Metazoa; Chordata; Actinopteri; Cypriniformes; Cyprinidae.
CAUGAAGGUUAAAAUAAGAAAAAAACACUGUUAUAAUAUAUAAAAUAAUGAUAAUAACAAAAUAAUAAUAAUUAUUAUUAUUAUAAAUAAUAAUGAAAUAUUAUUAUUGAUGUUCAUUUAUUAAGGUUACCAUGGGAGAGGAGUAGACUGACAGUUCUCCAUGCACCACAACUUGUUGCCAGAAGAAGUGGAGAAUGGCCUUUGCAGUCAGUGUCCAGCAGUAAUGUCCAGCUUUAUGGCUGACCGCCACAUGUAGCGGGGACAAAUGGCUGUUGUUUAGGAUGUUAGGAUCUGCUCCCAGAGCCAAGAAGCACAGAGCAGCUUCCUGGCUGGUCCUUCUGCACAGCCCAAUGAAGAAGGUCCAAGCCUGUGGAAAGUAUUAAGUAUCAAGACCACCAUCCUGACACAUGGCCUCGGGUGUUGAAGAUCUGAGGGACUCUCACACACGGGCAGAUUUUGAGAAUAACUGAGGAAGUGCCAUCAGAAAACAGACCUCUCAAUGGGAUAAACCACUGCCAGAUACUAUAGCUGGUAUGGCUGACUUUGGGAAAUUGGUUUAAAAUAGCAGGACCGGUGGAAAGCAUGGGGCGCUAAUCAUGGCAGGACAAGAACAAGCACUCAGCUCUAAAUCAAUAGGGACGGUCCUCCUGAGACAAUCCAGCACCUAAUAGCAGGAUGCAUGAUACAGACAGGAACUGGAUGGACUUCUGUCACAUCAGGAUUUUACAUGGAAGCAUCAGAAAUCCCAAAUCACAAUCAUGUUGUGAUUUUAAAUUAAUUGAUCAUAAUUUUAAUUUGAAAUGAAUUACAUUAAUUUGAUGGUAUUUUAUGUAUAUAUAGAGUACCAUACCACUUUAAUGUAAUAUACUACGUUUUGAUAUUUAUAUUUACAUCACAUUUUUCAUGCAGACUCAUCUUACAGUCUCUUUUUCUCUCUUCAGAGACCGGGUGGUAUUGAAUUACUUUCCAUAAUCUCUGAUUUUAUUUCAGAGCCUUAACGAUGUGAGAGCUUUGGGUGAAACUUCACCACCUCAUGGGGCUCUACUGUUACAAGUACAGUAGGUUUGUCUCUCUAGUUUGUCAGCAUCAACACCCAAGACAUUAUGGUCCUUUGCAAUAUGCAUCUUUUUUAUUUCAUUGUUGCAUUACUGAUGUACGGUUUGAAAGAGGGAGGGACUGCGACCUCAGACUGGUGACCAUCUGCCUGAAGGUUUUGUUCCAUUGGCAUUAGUGGCACAAUAUAGAAAGCGUUAAACUGUUUCUGGUCUUUAAUAGCUUUGUAGUUUGAGGCAAAAGAAUGAUUUUAUAUCUAUCUAUCUAUCUAUCUAUCUAUCUAUCUAUCUGUCUAUCUGUCUGUCUGUCUGU